This 108-nucleotide small nuclear RNA is filed under the name Salvator merianae (Argentine black and white tegu). The record is from RNAcentral. Lineage: Eukaryota; Metazoa; Chordata; Lepidosauria; Squamata; Teiidae.
GUGCUCGUUUUGGUAGCACACAUACUAAAAUGGGAAUGAAUCAAAAGAAGAUUAGCAGGGUCCCUGCGCAAAGAUGAGACAUAAAUCUCUGAAGCAUCCCAUACUUUU